GCGGGAAAAGUUCGCAUUUUGAC
This 23-nucleotide microRNA is filed under the name Heliconius melpomene (postman butterfly). RNAcentral describes it as "Hme-Mir-6307_5p* (star (passenger))". The record is from RNAcentral. Lineage: Eukaryota; Metazoa; Arthropoda; Insecta; Lepidoptera; Nymphalidae.